GUCGCUACUACCGAUUGGGAAAAUUUUAGAGAGUCUGGGACUGAUGAUUGUUCGGCUUCACGGCCUUACUUUCGUCGGAAACGAAUUCGAUAAUAUUUUUCUAGAGGAAGUAA
RNAcentral lists this ribosomal RNA (113 nucleotides) under uncultured eukaryote. Its description in RNAcentral is "partial small subunit ribosomal RNA". It matches the Rfam family "Eukaryotic small subunit ribosomal RNA", at positions 1675 to 1785 of the family's 1831-position model. The record is from RNAcentral.